CCUACGGGGGGCUGCAGUGGGGAAUAUUGGACAAUGGGCGAAAGCCUGAUCCAGCCAUGCCGCGUGUGUGAAGAAGGCCUUCGGGUUGUAAAGCACUUUCAGUGGGGAAGAAAGCCUUGGGGCUAAUACCCUCGAGGAAGGACAUCACCCACAGAAGAAGUACCGGCUAACUCCGUGCCAGCAGCCGCGGUAAUACGGAGGGUGCGAGCGUUAAUCGGAAUUACUGGGCGUAAAGCGCGCGUAGGCGGUCUGAUAAGCCGGUUGUGAAAGCCCCGGGCUCAACCUGGGAACGGCAUCCGGAACUGUCAGGCUAGAGUGCAGGAGAGGAAGGUAGAAUUCCCGGUGUAGCGGUGAAAUGCGUAGAGAUCGGGAGGAAUACCAGUGGCGAAGGCGGCCUUCUGGACUGACACUGACGCUGAGGUGCGAAAGCGUGGGUAGCAAACAGGAUUAGAUACCCCUGUAGUC
Molecule: ribosomal RNA, 465 nt
Filed under: Vreelandella stevensii
Lineage: Bacteria; Pseudomonadati; Pseudomonadota; Gammaproteobacteria; Oceanospirillales; Halomonadaceae
Description: partial 16S ribosomal RNA
Rfam family: Bacterial small subunit ribosomal RNA
Source: RNAcentral